AACGAACGCUGGCGGCAGGCUUAACACAUGCAAGUCGAGCGCAUCCUUCGGGGUGAGCGGCGGACGGGUGAGUAACGCGUGGGAACGUGCCCUCUUCUACGGAAUAGCCUCGGGAAACUGAGAGUAAUGCCGUAUACGCCCGCAAGGGGAAAGAUUUAUCGGAGGAGGAUCGGCCCGCGUUGGAUUAGGUAGUUGGUGGGGUAACGGCCUACCAAGCCGACGAUCCAUAGCUGGGUUGAGAGGAUGAUCAGCCACACUGGGACUGAGACACGGCCCAGACUCCUACGGGAGGCAGCAGUGGGGAAUCUUGGACAAUGGGGGCAACCCUGAUCCAGCCAUGCCGCGUGAUCGAUGAAGGCCUUAGGGUUGUAAAGAUCUUUCAGCUGGGAAGAUAAUGACGGUACCAGCAGAAGAAGCCCCGGCUAACUCCGUG
This 433-nucleotide ribosomal RNA is filed under the name uncultured bacterium. RNAcentral's name for it is "partial 16S ribosomal RNA". It matches the Rfam family "Bacterial small subunit ribosomal RNA", at positions 29 to 507 of the family's 1533-position model. The record is from RNAcentral.